RNAcentral lists this ribosomal RNA (253 nucleotides) under uncultured bacterium. RNAcentral's name for it is "partial 16S ribosomal RNA". It matches the Rfam family "Bacterial small subunit ribosomal RNA", at positions 524 to 776 of the family's 1533-position model. The record is from RNAcentral.
UACGAAGGGGGCUAGCGUUGUUCGGAAUCACUGGGCGUAAAGCGCGCGUAGGCGGAUUGUUAAGUCGGGGGUGAAAUCCCGAGGCUCAACCUCGGAACUGCCUUCGAUACUGGCGAUCUUGAGUCCGGGAGAGGUGAGUGGAACUCCUAGUGUAGAGGUGAAAUUCGUAGAUAUUAGGAAGAACACCAGUGGCGAAGGCGGCUCACUGGCCCGAUAUUGACGCUGAGGUGCGAAAGCGUGGGGAGCAAACAGG